GAUGAAGAACGCAGCGAAAUGCGAUAAGUAAUGUGAAUUGCAGAAUUCCGUGAAUCAUCGAAUCUUUGAACGCACAUUGCGCCCCCUGGCAUUCCGGGGGGCAUGCCUGUCCGAGCGUCAUUUCUGCCCUCAAGCACGGCUUGUGUGUUGGGCGUGGUCCCCCCGGGGACCUGCCCGAAAGGCAGCGGCGACGUCCGUCUGGUCCUCGAGCGUAUGGGGCUCUGUCACUCGCUCGGGAAGGACCUGCGGGGGUUGGUCACCACUAUAUUUUACCACGGUUGACCUCGGAUCAGGUAGGAGUUACCCGCUGAACUUAAGCAUAUCAAUAAGCGGAGGA
RNAcentral lists this unclassified non-coding RNA (337 nucleotides) under soil metagenome. RNAcentral describes it as "partial contains 5.8S ribosomal RNA, internal transcribed spacer 2, and large subunit ribosomal RNA". The stretch from base 1 to 120 matches the Rfam family "5.8S ribosomal RNA", at positions 35 to 154 of the family's 154-position model. The record is from RNAcentral.